AUCCAGGGCAGUUGAAGUGAUGAUGUUUUCCAUGUCUCUGGUCCCUAGGAGUCUGAGAAGCAGAUUUUAUUAGAAGAUCACUAGAAAAUUGCAGUGAAAGCUUCCACCUCUGCAGUGAAGACAGGAUUGCUAGACAAGUGGUAUAUUUUGUUGCCUUUGAAUUUUCCCAGUUGUAUCAGAAGUUACCACAGAAUAUUUUGGCCUAUCUGCUUUUCCAGAUUUUAUUCCAGAUUGGCCCAAAUAUGUCCUAGAGGAAACUUUUCCUGCUAUAUGGCUAUUUUCACAUGUGAUGUUGCCUUGGUCCACUCAUCCCAUCUCACCAGUCUUCAGAGGAAGAUCUUACUGUUCAUCCUUCCAACAGAACAAUUGGUAGAAACACUUGCAAUUUUUUUCUUUUAUACAGCUUGUUCUCUGACUCUUUCUAACCUCUUUCUUGAAAUUGCCUCAUAACUACCUCAAUUGAAGUGUUCUGUGUCACAUAGUUUCCUGUAUUUCUUUCAAGCUGAUGAAGUCAUUCCUUUCAAGCUGAUGAGCUGCCAUGCUUCAUGUCACAAUACCCCCUUGGAAAAGAAGGCAGCUAGGCACACCUCAGUACCCUGAAGCAUAUUUUGUUUCUUUUACAGAACCAACUCCACCAAUUAUCAGGUAUUCUUCUAACAGUUCUCAGAAGUUGGGGGAAGAUCCUUUGGUGCUGGUCAAAAAUCCAGAAACAAGACAGAUUAGAAGUCCAUUUCAAUUAAUAACCUGGAGGAAAAGGUAUGCUUGUGUAUCCACAGGUUCAAGGCAGAAGUAACUUCCUAGUGAAGAACAUGGAAAUUUAUCAGCUGCAGAAACAAGCGGAUGACCCCAGGAGCAGAGAAGUGAGCACACAGACAUGAAGUGCAUCAAGACCACAGUUGACAGCCAACAGCUUUUAUCCCACAUGCAGAAGAAGUGGACUUUGGGUUUCAUGUAAAAGUGUGGGAAAUUAUUAAUAUUGUAACACCUUGUUUGUAAAAUCGUGGUGUGAAUCAUGUUAGGAUUCAGAAUCUUGUGGAAGAGAUACAGCCAAUGAACAUGAAACUAAA
This is a long non-coding RNA of Parus major (Great Tit), 1067 nucleotides long. RefSeq lists it as uncharacterized. Lineage: Eukaryota; Metazoa; Chordata; Aves; Passeriformes; Paridae. The record is from RefSeq and is a predicted model, not a curated record. The transcript has 2 exons.